This 24-nucleotide non-coding RNA is filed under the name Arabidopsis thaliana (thale cress). Lineage: Eukaryota; Viridiplantae; Streptophyta; Magnoliopsida; Brassicales; Brassicaceae. The record is from RNAcentral.
AUGGUCUUCCCACCAAACUUCCUU